Molecule: ribosomal RNA, 468 nt
Filed under: uncultured bacterium
Lineage: Bacteria
Description: bacterial SSU rRNA
Rfam family: Bacterial small subunit ribosomal RNA
Source: RNAcentral
UUCCAGACUCCUACGGGAGGCAGCAGUGAGGAAUAUUGGUCAAUGGGCUUACGCCUGAACCAGCCAAGUCGCGUGAGGGAAGACUGCCCUAUGGGUUGUAAACCUCUUUUGUCAGGGAGCAAUUGGCGCUACGUGUAGCGUUAUCGAGAGUACCUGAAGAAAAAGCAUCGGCUAACUCCGUGCCAGCAGCCGCGGUAAUACGGAGGAUGCGAGCGUUAUCCGGAUUUAUUGGGUUUAAAGGGUGCGUAGGCGGAAUGCCAAGUCAGCGGUAAAAUCGCGGGGCUCAACCUCGCUCCGCCGUUGAAACUGGUUUUCUUGAGUGAGUGAGAAGUAUGCGGAAUGCGUGGUGUAGCGGUGAAAUGCAUAGAUAUCACGCAGAACUCCGAUUGCGAAGGCAGCAUACCGGCGCUCAACUGACGCUCAUGCACGAAAGUGUGGGUAUCGAACAGGAUUAGAUACCCUUGUACC